AUUCUAACAGAUUGAGAGAGGUAGUAACAAGAAAUAACAAUACAAGGCAGUUAAAAUGCUUUGUAAUUGGAAUGAUAGAAAUUUAAACCCUUUUUAAAGUAUCAAUUGGAGGGCAAGUCUGGUGCCAGCAGCCGCGGUAAUUCCAGCUCCAAUAGCGUAUAUUAAAAUUGUUGCAGUUAAAAAGCUCGUAGUUGAAGUUCUGCUGAAAGUAACCGGUCUGCUUUUAAUAAAAGUGGUAUCUUGGUAUGUAUUUAGCAAUGAUGUCCUUUGAAGUGUUUUUUACUUUAUUGUAAUAAAGCAUAUUCAGGACUUUUACUUUGAGAAAAUUAAAGUGUUUCUAGCAGGCUAACGCUUUGAAUACUGCAGCAU
RNAcentral lists this ribosomal RNA (369 nucleotides) under Hepatozoon canis. Its description in RNAcentral is "bacterial SSU rRNA". It matches the Rfam family "Eukaryotic small subunit ribosomal RNA", at positions 448 to 810 of the family's 1831-position model. The record is from RNAcentral. Lineage: Eukaryota; Apicomplexa; Hepatozoidae.